This is a long non-coding RNA of Felis catus (domestic cat), 1576 nucleotides long. RefSeq lists it as uncharacterized. Lineage: Eukaryota; Metazoa; Chordata; Mammalia; Carnivora; Felidae. The record is from RefSeq and is a predicted model, not a curated record. The transcript has 3 exons.
AACCCGGCAGCCGAGGGCGUGGGGUCCCCGCCCUCGGCCGCCAUUGGCUAUGAGUCCACGCCGCCGCGCCCCCUUGGCCAAUUGACGACAGCUGUGGGCUGGACCGCCCUGGUAGCGACCCGCCCCCAGGUCAGCGACGCGGCUCUCCAUUGGGCGAAGGAGGGUGACGCAAGGCUGCAGGCCACGUGGUAGUGUUUUCAUUGCCAGAGGCUGCGAAGCGGAAGUCCGGAAGAACCAGUGCAAGUGAGGCCCGACCUGGUGGCCACCUUCUGGAAUCUGCGGUGGAGCUGCGGCUGAGGGGGCGGGCGGACGCGCUCCGUCCCACCCCACCCAGACCCCUGUCGCAUGUAGCUCUCCGUCUAUUAAACUUACAGAGGAUUUUGUAGAUCAAAGUUGAAGAAGAGCUGGACAAAAUAACGACUUCCUACCAUCAUAUUCUUUGAGUCUAAGGCAGAGAUACCGUGCCCCGCUAAAAUGUCUUGCGUACCAAGUGGAACACAAUGUCUGGUCCAUGAAAGUGGUGAGAGACUAUAUUGCCAAAUAUUUUUUGAAAAUAUGCUGGAUGCUUCAUAGAAAUGAGGUUCUACGGCACACUACCGGAAAGGAGGCUGGUGCUUGUGCUGAGCCGCCUUCAGCGGCUCCACGUCCCACAUUGCUGAUGAGUGAGAGCCUCUGUUAUAAAUGGAAACGGGAACCGGCAAGUGCUCCCCGGCUAACGCUGAACCCACCGGCUUAUUUUGCUACCUAUUAUGUACGUGAUCUGCGAUUUUGCUUAUUGAUUGCAAAUAUGCACGAGGAAUAGGAAGCUGGCGUGUUUUCCAAAAACGAGACGGAGCGUUUUCGCUGCUGCGGGUCUCAACCGGGUAUGACUUCGACUUUUCACCAUUUCUCUGAGGUCAGAAACAGCCUUUGGUGGGUUUCUAAUUUUUUUUUUUUUUUUAUAUAGAAGUUUGGCUCCCGAGACUGUUUCAGAGCCUUUAGGAAAGAUAUCAAGUGGACGAGACAUGUCCGAAAAUAUUUAAAGUGGCGAUUUCCUAGGCCCUCUUUCUCCACUUUCUCCGUAGGCAUCUGUUCCCAUAUGUGGAGGUUUAAGUCAGCCUCUAUCUACAGAUGACCCUUGUCUGACCUCACUCUCUGGAAUGCUCUGCCUGCCUCUGUCUUUCAUGCCAGAGCACAUCAACACUACCUUCUGUUGGCAUUCCUGAUAGGAUCUCUUUCUCCUGAGCUCUUGAAAGAAUCCUGCUUCAGCAACUCUAGAGAAUGGUGGGAGAGUUGGUCUUUAAAAACAGAUUUAUCCCAUACCAAGGACAGGAAUCACUUAUUUUGCACCACUGUGUGCAUUGACUCUUCUUUUCUCCCAAUCCAUGAAUAUAGUAUAGAUUCUUAGGUCCCCUUGACCCAGGAAUGCAGUUUCCCAUGCCUGCAUAGGCCAAGUCCUUCUGUUCUCAGAGAUUCUAAUUACAUUAGCCUGUGUAUUUUCUUUAAAACGGUUAUCACAACCUAAAAUUACCUUGUUUAUUUGCUUACAUAUUCACUGUCUAUCUCCUCUAUCUGGAAAGUAAACUCCAUGAGAGCA